GAUGAACGCUGGCGGCGUGCCUAAUACAUGCAAGUCGAGCGAACGGACGAGAAGCUUGCUUCUCUGAUGUUAGCGGCGGCCGGGUGAGUAACACGUGGAUAACCUACCUAUCCGACUGGGAUAACUUCGGGAAACCGGAGCUACUACCGGAUAAUAUUUUGAAUCGCUCGGUUCAAAAGUGAAAGACGGUCUUGCUUUCACUUAUAGAUGGAUCCGCGCUGCAUUAGCUAGUUGGCAAGGUAACGGCUUACCAAGGCAACGAUGCAUAGCCGCCCUGAGAGGGUGGUCGGCCACACUGGAGCGGAGACACGGUCCAGACUCCUACGGGAGGCAGCAGUAGGGAAUCUUCCGGAAUGGGCGAAAGCCUGACGGAGCAACGCCGCGGGAGGGAUGAAGGUCGUCGGAUCGUAAAACUCUGUUAUUAGGGAAGAACAUAUGUGUAAUUAACUGUGCACAGCUUGACGGUACCUAAUCAGAAAGCCGCGGCUAACUACGUG
RNAcentral lists this ribosomal RNA (497 nucleotides) under uncultured bacterium. RNAcentral describes it as "partial 16S ribosomal RNA". It matches the Rfam family "Bacterial small subunit ribosomal RNA", at positions 28 to 507 of the family's 1533-position model. The record is from RNAcentral.